CAUUGUCACAAAUUCUUUAAGAGACUUGUGUUGUAAAGAGUACAUAAUUAUAAUUUUUUUCAUGAAACAAAAUACUACUUUUUUAGCUGAAGUAUAGAGAGAAAAGCAGUACCUCUUGUUGGGGGCCUUCGGCUUACGAAGGUCCUCAAAAACAGGAUUUAACAGCAUUUUCUGGAGUAUAACGUGUGAACAGGUAUCUUCGGACUCGAAUCACGGUAUCACAGUAGGAGAAGCCCAAAGCAAUACGAAGGUUGAUACAGCGCCGAAGAUGUGAACGGGAAAGCUUCGGCGCGGUAGCAGAAAAUGAAACCGACUUAAAGAUGAAAAGGCUAUUCAGACCUCGGUGGAUUACUAUAGAAUUAUUAUCAAAUGUAAAGGGCAUGAAUGUAAUUCUGUAUGGGCUGUGUCCCGUGCCUAUAAAUAGGUGAACAGUACCCCUGUACUGUUCACGCUGACUUGGCAUUUUCUUUUGCGUCACGCUUGUACUUUCGCUUUCCUUCAAGCCGAAGGUACAUUUGUAAUUUGAUAUUAUUACUACUUUUCUAUAAUGAUAACACAGAAAUGAUUUGAUGAUAAUACAUUAUGAUUUAUGUUAUCUUUUGUGUUUCAUAAGAUUCUUUCUUCAUUAUUAUAUAUUGAAUUUACGAAGGUAUGCCCUUCACAACCUUCGUCCGAAAAUCAUUAUGCCUUAUGGGAAAUAAUGCUUCGAAGGACGAAGGACUUUAACGUUUAACAUUUCUUGUGUUGCCUUGUUCUUAAUUCAUAGCUUUUGAGAACAAGUCCCCAACAUUGGCGCCCACCGUGGGUGAACUCACUUCCACUCUUUGAGUUUUUGAACACCUUCGGCGAUCAUAAACCUUCGCUAUGGCGCCGAAGAAAGCUUCAGCAACUGGGGCUGCAGCCCUACAACCGCUGGACCCAAACCAGGAGACUCUCUCCCUUCGGGAGGCCCGAAGCCAGAAGAGGAAGGCUGUCAGCCCGACACCACUAGAGGAUGAGUUAGAUCAAGAAAUCAGAGACAUGGAGAUGCUUCAUCAACAGGUGCAGAAGAAGAAGAAAAAGAUGGUCAGGCUAGCUGAACUCCAAAGGCAGAUAGACGAAGCCUCUGAAGAAGUUCGUCAUCUUGCUCAGGAUGAGCACAACCGAAGGCCUCAACACCAAGACCUUCAUCAGGAGGGUUUCCCCAAUGAAGAUGACUGGUAUGAGAAUUUCCAUCAUGGAAAUUUUGCUUUUGAUGAUGCUUCUCCUCUGUCCGCUGAGUUGCAGGCUACACCUUGGCCUCCGUCCUACAAGCCGCCCCAGCUUCCCAUAUUCGACGGCCAUUCAGACCCGAAGCAGUUUUUGAUGAGCUACGAAGCAACAGUAUCUUCGUAUGGUGGCAAUACUGCCGUUAUGGCCAAAUCUUUUGUUAUGGCUGUCAGGAGUGUUGCUCAGACCUGGUAUUCCUCCCUUCGACCAGGAACGAUCACUUCAUGGCAGAAGCUGAAGGACUUGUUGUUAACCAGCUUCCAAGGGUUUCAGACGAAGCCGGUCACUGCUCAAGCUCUAUUCCAAUGCACCCAGGAUCACGAAGAAUACCUUCAGGCGUACGUCCGGAGGUUCUUGCGUUUAAGGGCACAGGCACCAACAGUGCCAAACGAAAUUGUCAUUGAGGCCAUGAUCAAGGGGCUUCGGCCAGGACCUUCAGCUCAGUACUUUGCUAGGAAGCCCCCUCAAACUUUGGAGAAGCUGCUCCAAAAGAUGGACGAGUAUAUUCGGGCCGAUAAUGAUUUUCGUCAAAGAAGGGAGGAGGCUUUCAGGUUUUCUGAAAUGACCAGGGGCUUCGGAGGUAGGUUCUAUCCAAGGCACGUUAGGUCAAUUCACAACUCUACCCAAAGUGAUGAUAGGGAGAGCCAGCAGCAAAGACCACAGUGCUCCUCACAAGCUUCGGGGCAACAACAAGGUUCCUUCCGACCACCAGCUCCAAGAGGCAGAGGCGCCAGGGGCUUCGGCGGAAGAUUUGGAGAUCAACCAAGAAGAAUCUUUUGCUUGUUUUGUGGUGAGAACAAAGGUCAUACCACCAGGAUGUGUCAUGUUACCAUCCAGAAGCAAAAGGAAAUAGCCGAAGCUGCAGCACAACAAGCUCAGCCGAAGCAGGUCAUGCACACUGCUUCGUAUCAUUCGCCCUACAUCCCAGAGUAUGUAGGCAAUCACCCUGCAGUUUCUGUUGCUUCGGCAAGUCAACCUCAAGCUUCCUGGCAACAGCCUCCGCCUCCACCACCGCUGCAGCAAGGCCAACAGCCAGAAGGGAGCCAAUAUGCUCCGCAUCAAAGGGACUUCAGAGAACAGUCCGAAGCUCGCACAGUCAACAGCACUGUGCCAGAGUCAAAGCACAUCUAUUGACAAAUAUCCUACCUUAAUAGCAGUCUUUUUCAUUCAGUUUUAUUUUCUAUGUAAUAAAGGACAUUGUUUAGAUUUCAUGUAAAUAGUUUCGUUGUUUGCCACAAGGAAAAUAUAUUUUCUUCACAGGCUUAAGUUGUUGAAGUUUAAAGAUUUGUGAUAACAACGAGGACCUUCGAAUUAUCAAAGUCGUUCUAAGGAACGCAGAGUAAGUUUGCCGAAGUCACAAAAAGCCGUUCCAAAUGGAGCGCAGUGUAAGUUUUCUGCUCCAAAGUCGUUCCAAAGGGAAUGCAGAGCAUACAGCGAAAAGUCAACGCUGAUACCGCCUAAGUAAAAGGCGAAGCGCGAAAAGUCAACGCGAAUACCGCUGAAAGUAAAAGGCGAAGAAGCUCCUAAGGGAGGCUUACAGCGAAAAAUAAACGCUGAUUCCGCUGAAGUAAAAGGCGAAGAAGCUCCUAAGGGAGGCUUAUAACAAAAAGUCACCUCUGAUUCAAAAAAGAUUAUGUAUUUUAUCGCAGGGAUGUAUGUUUGUCUUCGGAAUAAAUAUCAUUUUGCAUAGCAUAACAUCAUCACACCAUUUCGCAUACCAUAAGCAUCAUACAUCAUGCUGCAUAUGGCACAAGAAGGGGGCACAAUAUCGAACUACAGAGGAAUGUUUUGAAAAAGGAGAUACACUGUUGAUCUUCGGAAGUGUAGCUUCGGGAAAAAUCUUCACGAAGCUUGGAUAUUAUUCAUUGAAACACUACGGAUAUUGUCGCAAUAGAUAAAAAGUCUUCUUCAGGAAGCAUGAAAAGAAGGGAAGGUGUUUUUUCGUCAAAGACUCAAAAAUGGUACGUAUGUAAAAUUUCAUGCAUCGUAAAGAAUUGAACAAUAAAAACGGGUAUAUUACAUACAGGACUACAAGAUGUUACACAUGUUACAUUUCAGAAGUUUUUACAAUAGUAUUUAAUCUUCUUUCAGAACAGCAUCUGCAGCUUCGUUCAGGAGCCGAUUAACAACUUCGUCCAUGAUGGCUUCGACCAUCUUUUUAAUUUCGUCAUCUCCUUUCGGGUGAGGGCCCGGAGACGCUUUAGUAGGAUCUGAAGGAGGACAGGAUACGGCUACAUUGCUAUUACAAAUCGCGAACGAAGUUUAAAACCAAAAAUUACAACGCAAUAAAAACCAUUAGUUAAUACCUAUUUGCCCUUCGGGCUCUGAGCUUUUUUCAGCAGCCUUGGCUACUUCUCUAGCGUCGUGAAUGCCCUUCUCGCUUUUUUGGAUAAUUUCUCGAGCCAUUUCUCGGCCACCAUUAUCCCAGACAUCGGUGAAAAAUUUUCCACCAACCAUGCUAGCUUCGGCUGAAGGAUCGCUCGCAUCUUCGAAAGACAAGCUAGCUUCGGAUUGCGCUAAGAUUUUUACAUGUUCACAGCCCUUCUUCUCCAAAAUGGUGGCAAUUCCUCUAGCACCCGAAAAAGCACAUAUGUCUCCGCGGCUAUUUAAAAUUUCCUCGAAGGCCUCAGCUUCGUGAUUAAUCCAUUCGAUAGGACCUUCGGGGUUGCCUCUUGCAAAGUUUUCUUCGCUCGAGAAUGCGCCGACGCUGGCGAAGCUAGUUUUCAACUUCUUAACACACUCCAUGGAUUUGUUAUAGCAUCUUUUCUUGGACGAGCGAAGCUCUUCAACAGUUCCCUCUAAAUGAUUUGCCCAUUGGUCGCUGAGUUCUCGCUUCGUUUCUUCAAGGAUGCGUUCCUCUUUGGCUCUGGCCAGUUGUUUCCGAAGAUCUUCAAUUUCGCGCUUCUGAGCCUCAGCUUGACCUUUAAAAGUAGUUUCGUCUUCUUUUAUUCUAUUUAUUAAUGAAUGCAAUAUUUUAUCUUUUUCGAGAUCUUCGUUCCUCAGCUCAAUUACUUCGGAACGAAGGUUGCUCAGGGCUAUAGCGCACCCUUCGUCUUCAGCAUCUUUUUGGGCCCUGAGGGCAUUGCUAAGUAUCAGACCCUGCAAAGAAAAAUGUGUGUGCGUUAAUAGACUUAAGAAAACAAAAAUUUUAGUCUCAACAAAAAUUGCAAAGGUCCCAUUUGUUGUACCUUUAAGCUAUUAUAUGCCAGGCUGUCCGCCAGAUCGUUCUUCGACAGCACCGAGAGCCCGUCUUCUAGUGUUGGGAAUCCGAAGCUCUUGCUCAUCUCCCGACAGACAGAAAUUUCCUUGCUGUCGGGGAGACAAUACAAAAAGUCUUCUUCUCCACUACCAUUGAAUAUUAACGCCCCCUUUGGAUACUUCAGUUUUUGGCAUAAAGCUGGGCCUCUUGCUUUUCUUUUUCUGAUAAUUGUUUCCCCGAAGCAUGACGAACAAUGUAAUCAAGGACUUUGGGGGAUGCUUCGGGGGCAAUAACAUUGAUUUCUUCAACAAGAGUUGGCUUUGUUAUUUUUUCUUCCUCGGUUUCCAAGGAUUUUAUCUUCGUGGGCUCUGAGGAUACAGCUUCGGCUUCAGUUUCUUGCUCUGCAGCCUUAAUAUCAGAAAUUUCAAUUUUCGCUUCGGGAAUGGCAACAGUCUUCUUCGGAGGUGUGCUUGAGGAUUUAAUUGUUUCCAGAACAUCUUGCACAUUGACCAUUCUUUUUCUUUUCGGAGUCACUGCUGGCACCUUUUGAUCUUUUACUGUCUCAACAUUUGAUGCAGGACUCAACGCUUCUAUUGUUUUUGAUCCCUCAGUUGGUCCUUUUAUCUCUUCCAUUUUUUCUGUGGAUGGCGCUUCGGCCAUCUCUUUGGUUUCUGGUAACAAAAUCUUCGGUUCUCCCAAUUCUAUCCUUGUUGGCGCUUCGGCUAUUUCUGCGACUUCUGGCAGCAAGGUUGACUUUUCAGCUUCACUGGCCGAAGAAAUUUCUCCGGUAAAUUCAGGCACCGAAGCUGGUUCAAUGUAGCGUGGCCGAUGUGUGAGGACUUUUAUCCUUUUCCUCUUCGGUUCUGGCUCGUUAGGAGCAGUUGUAGCUUCUUCUUUCACAAAGGUUGUGCUUUUUCUUUUCUGCCCACGAAUGGGAUAACGAUAGUCAGGGUAGACAAACCCGAUUGCGUCAAACACCCGGUUCAAUCUUUUCUUUUUUCGUCCUCCGAAGGCUGCUGACAAGGCAGUAUCUUCAGCCUUCGAAUAAACCCCAAGUAGCUCAUCACUUAAAUUUUCAAUGCUCUUUAGCCAGUCAUCAUCUGGCUCAACGAAUUUAUCUCCAAACUUGAAAGUAUACUUCAGCCUGAUAAGGCCACCUUCGUCAGCCUCCUUUAUAGUCUCUUGUGGCAUUUCCCAUUUUUCCGCAAGCGGCCAUACUCUGAAGGCAAUAUGCUCUUGGACCAAAUCUCUCGUUCCAAUAAAAGAGCAGAUAACUCCGAUGGCUCUCUGGCAUUCUUCGGCAGCUUCAUUCAUUUCAACCUUCGGCCUCCGCAGGCCGAAGCUUUGCCAAAUAGGGCGCAUAAUUAUACCUUUGAUAUCUUCUCGUGCUUUCAGGUCAUUCUUCACAUAAAACCAUUAUGUCAUCCAGUCGUCGGGCCAUCUCUUCCGAAAGGUUGGCACGGGGCAGCUUGACCCAGACCGAGAAACGAAAUUGUAACAACCAAAAUUAUUAUGAUACUGUUCCUUACCCCAAGGCUUCGUCUCGUAUGAUAAUUCGUGUAUGUUACAGAAGCUUUUCGCAUCAGGUUCCAGACCUUGGCUUCUCACGCCCCACACGAAGAUAUUCAGCCUUAUGAUUGCUUCGGGGGUAAGUUGGUGAAGAUAAACUUCAAAUAUUUUCAGUACAUCUACGACAAAGUUGCUCAGGGGAAACCGUAAUCCAGCUUUCAAAAAGCUUCGGUACACUACGACUUCAUUUUCUUCAGGGUUUGGACAAGUUUUUUCUCCUUCAUCGGCCCUACAACGGACAAGUCCCGGAAAUACCUUCCUCUCAUGUUGACAAGAUGAUUUUCUUUGAUAGUUGAUUUGCCGAAAACCGCAUGGCUUGGUCGCCAAGGACGAUCUUCGGAGUCUUCACCACCACUGUCCACAUCAUAACCGUCGCUGUCACCAGUAUCUUCAGACAAACCUUCUAAAAUCUCUUUGGUGAUUUUUUCUGUAUUAGUCUUCGACAUUGCUAUGAGAAACCCCAGAUUCUUCUCUUCAUCGAGACUCAGCUUCAUCUCAGUAGUAGCUUUCUUAUCUUCAGACAUCUUCGGAAACACUAAAAAACUGUUUUCAAUGCCGAAGCUUCAAAACUUAAAAGCUAAGCAAACCUUGGUGCACAAGAGCUAAAAAUUGAGUGGGCGGGAGCGAAUGGCAAGAGAGCGUGCCAAAUGAGCUUGCGGUAUGAUCUUAUUUAUACGCCCAGUGCGUUGAAAAUGGAACAACCCCGCCUGUCAGUGAAUGUUGCUAUUCUAGCAAAGGGAAGGUGUUUUUUCGGACCUUCGGCUUAUAGCCUUCGUUCAUGUCGCAAUCUAAAUUUAUUUUAAACAAGUUUAUAUUGCGAGGGGCUACUGUUGGGGGCCUUCGGCUUACGAAGGUCCUCAAAAACAGGAUUUAACAGCAUUUUCUGGAGUAUAACGUGUGAACAGGUAUCUUCGGACUCGAAUCACGGUAUCACAGUAGGAGAAGCCCAAAGCAAUACGAAGGUUGAUACAGCGCCGAAGAUGUGAACGGGAAAGCUUCGGCGCGGUAGCAGAAAAUGAAACCGACUUAAAGAUGAAAAGGCUAUUCAGACCUCGGUGGAUUACUAUAGAAUUAUUAUCAAAUGUAAAGGGCAUGAAUGUAAUUCUGUAUGGGCUGUGUCCCGUGCCUAUAAAUAGGUGAACAGUACCCCUGUACUGUUCACGCUGACUUGACAUUUGCUUUUGCGUCACGCUUGUACUUUCGCUUUCCUUCAAGCCGAAGGUACAUUUGUAAUUUGAUAUUAUUACUACUUUUCUAUAAUGAUAAUACAGAAAUGAUUUGAUGAUAAUACAUUAUGAUUUAUGUUAUCUUUUGUGUUUCAUAAGAUUCUUUCUUCAUUAUUAUAUAUUGAAUUUACGAAGGUAUGCCCUUCACAACCUUCGUCCGAAAAUCAUUAUGCCUUAUGGGAAAUAAUGCUUCGAAGGACGAAGGACUUUAACGUUUAACAUUUCUUGUGUUGCCUUGUUCUUAAUUCAUAGCUUUUGAGAACAAGUCCCCAACACCUCUAGAAGUUGGUAGCCAAAUAAGUGCAACUCUGUAGAAAUUGUCGCUAUAAAGACAAUGUAGAAAUGUAUGAGUGAUAAUAUUUAGCAGUACUU
RNAcentral lists this long non-coding RNA (7614 nucleotides) under Zea mays. Its description in RNAcentral is "long non-coding RNA (ZMAY_LNC005634)". The record is from RNAcentral. Lineage: Eukaryota; Viridiplantae; Streptophyta; Magnoliopsida; Poales; Poaceae.